GACGAACGCUGGCGGCGUGCUUAACACAUGCAAGUCGAACGGAAAGGCCCUGCUUUUGUGGGGUGCUCGAGUGGCGAACGGGUGAGUAACACGUGAGUAACCUGCCCUUGACUUUGGGAUAACUUCAGGAAACUGGGGCUACUACCGGAUAGGAGCCGCUGCUGCAUGGUGGGGGUUGGAAAGUUUCGGCGGUUGGGGAUGGACUCGCGGAUUAUCAGCUUGUUGGUGGGGUAGUGGCUUACCAAGGCUGUGACGGGUAGGCGGCCUGUGAGGGUGACCGGCCACAUUGGGACUGAGGGACGGCCCAGUCUCCUACGGGGGGCAGCAGGGGGGAAUAUUGCACAAUGGGCGGAAGUCUGAUGCAGCAACGCCGCGGGCGUGAUGACGGCCUUCGGGUUGUAAACCGCUUUCGCCUGUGACGAAGCGUGAGUGACGGUAAUGGGUAAAGAAGCACCGGCUAACUACGUG
Molecule: ribosomal RNA, 468 nt
Filed under: uncultured bacterium
Lineage: Bacteria
Description: partial 16S ribosomal RNA
Rfam family: Bacterial small subunit ribosomal RNA
Source: RNAcentral